This 253-nucleotide ribosomal RNA is filed under the name uncultured bacterium. Its description in RNAcentral is "partial 16S ribosomal RNA". It matches the Rfam family "Bacterial small subunit ribosomal RNA", at positions 524 to 776 of the family's 1533-position model. The record is from RNAcentral.
UACGUAGGGUGCAAGCGUUGUCCGGAAUUAUUGGGCGUAAAGAGCUCGUAGGCGGUCUGUCGCGUCGGCUGUGAAAACCCAGGGCUCAACCCUGGGCCUGCAUUCGAUACGGGCAGACUAGAGUGUGGCAGGGGAGACUGGAAUUCCUGGUGUAGCGGUGAAAUGCGCAGAUAUCAGGAGGAACACCGGUGGCGAAGGCGGGUCUCUGGGCCGUAACUGACGCUGAGGAGCGAAAGCGUGGGGAGCGAACAGG